AUGAACGCUGGCGGCGUGCCUAAUACAUGCAAGUCGAGCGAACAGACGAGGAGCUUGCUCCUCUGACGUUAGCGGCGGACGGGUGAGUAACACGUGGAUAACCUACCUAUAAGACUGGGAUAACUUCGGGAAACCGGAGCUAAUACCGGAUAAUAUAUUGAACCGCAUGGUUCAAUAGUGAAAGACGGUUUUGCUGUCACUUAUAGAUGGAUCCGCGCCGCAUUAGCUAGUUGGUAAGGUAACGGCUUACCAAGGCAACGAUGCGUAGCCGACCUGAGAGGGUGAUCGGCCACACUGGAACUGAGACACGGUCCAGACUCCUACGGGAGGCAGCAGUAGGGAAUCUUCCGCAAUGGGCGAAAGCCUGACGGAGCAACGCCGCGUGAGUGAUGAAGGUCUUCGGAUCGUAAAACUCUGUUAUUAGGGAAGAACAAAUGUGUAAGUAACUAUGCACGUCUUGACGGUACCUAAUCAGAAAGCCACGGCUAAUUACGUG
This 496-nucleotide ribosomal RNA is filed under the name uncultured bacterium. RNAcentral's name for it is "partial 16S ribosomal RNA". It matches the Rfam family "Bacterial small subunit ribosomal RNA", at positions 29 to 507 of the family's 1533-position model. The record is from RNAcentral.